CACACACACACACAACAAAUAUUAAAGAAUCCUAGGAAACUCACCGACAUAGUCACCCAUGAAGAGGUAAUUGGUGUCAGGAGCGUUGCCGCCUAUCCGAAAAAGCUCGAUUAGAUCGUAGAACUGGCCAUGAAUAUCGCCGCACACAGUAACCGGACAUUUCACCGGCUGAACAUUCCAUUCCUCCACCAGAAUCGCCCUCGCUUGAUCGCACAGAGUCUUCACCUCUGCUUCUGACAGCGGCUUGCACUCCAUCAAUUGCUCUAUCUGCCUGUCCAAAUCCCCUUGUCCCGGCAUUUCGCAAUUAUUUUCAAUAAUAUUUGAAAAAAAAAUAAAAAAAAAUCCCCUCCUUAUUGGCUUUCAGAUCUAUGAAUUAGUUAACGAUUUGAAUUUUAAAAAAUACAAAAAUAAUAGAUUAAUCAGACGAAUCAGACAGAUCUCGACUUGAGAGAUUUAUGAAGAAAAAUGAUUUCAUAAAUUUUUUUCAUCAUUUUCUAUUGCUUCACGAGACUCGUUAACAUUUCACGUCUCUCUCCCUCUAGAAAUGAUAAGAAUUAUGUAUAUUUAUCAGUAUAUAUAUUCAAAUUAUAUAUGUACGCAAUAUAU
This 606-nucleotide long non-coding RNA is filed under the name Olea europaea subsp. europaea. The record is from RNAcentral. Lineage: Eukaryota; Viridiplantae; Streptophyta; Magnoliopsida; Lamiales; Oleaceae.